RNAcentral lists this ribosomal RNA (523 nucleotides) under uncultured Bacteriovorax sp. Its description in RNAcentral is "bacterial SSU rRNA". It matches the Rfam family "Bacterial small subunit ribosomal RNA", at positions 349 to 863 of the family's 1533-position model. The record is from RNAcentral. Lineage: Bacteria; Pseudomonadati; Bdellovibrionota; Bacteriovoracia; Bacteriovoracales; Bacteriovoracaceae.
GAGCAGUGGGGAAUAUUGCGCAAUGGGGGAAACCCUGACGCAGCAAUGCCGCGUGAGUGAGGAAGGCCUUCGGGUUGUAAAGCUCUGUCAGAUGGGAAGAACAGCAGUUGGUCCAAUAGGCCUCUGUUUGACGGUACCUUCAAAGGAAGCACCGGCUAACUUCGUGCCAGCAGCCGCGGUAAUACGAAGGGUGCAAGCGUUGUUCGGAUUUACUGGGCGUAAAGCGCGCGCAGGCGGAUUGAUAAGUCAGAUGUGAAAUCUCGGGGCUCAACCCCGAAACUGCGUCUGAAACUGUUGAUCUAGAGUUAUGUAGGGGAGAAGGGAAUUUCGCAUGUAGGGGUAAAAUCCGUAGAGAUGCGAAGGAACACCAGAGCCGAAGGGGCUUCUCUGGGCAUACACUGACGCUGAGGCGCGAAAGCGUGGGUAGCAAACAGGAUUAGAUACCCUGGUAGUCCACGCCGUAAACGAUGAGUACUAGAUUUUGGGGCCUUUGACCGCUUCAGAGUCGCAGCUAACGCAUUAA